GAUGAACGCUGGCGGCGUGCCUAAUACAUGCAAGUCGAGCGAACGGACGAGAAGCUUGCUUCUCUGAUGUUAGCGGCGGACGGGUGAGUAACACGUGGAUAACCUACCUAUAAGACUGGGAUAACUUCGGGAAACCGGAGCUAAUACCGGAUGAUAUUUUGAACCGCAUGGUUCAAAAGUGAAAGACGGUCUUGCUGUCACUUAUAGAUGGAUCCGCGCUGCAUUAGCUAGUUGGUAAGGUAACGGCUUACCAAGGCAACGAUGCAUAGCCGACCUGAGAGGGUGAUCGGCCACACUGGAACUGAGACACGGUCCAGACUCCUACGGGAGGCAGCAGUAGGGAAUCUUCCGCAAUGGGCGAAAGCCUGACGGAGCAACGCCGCGUGAGUGAUGAAGGUCUUCGGAUCGUAAAACUCUGUUAUUAGUGAAGAACAUAUGUGUAAGUAACUGUGCACAUCGUGACGGUACCUAAUCAGAAAGCCACGGCUAACUACGUG
This 497-nucleotide ribosomal RNA is filed under the name uncultured bacterium. RNAcentral describes it as "partial 16S ribosomal RNA". It matches the Rfam family "Bacterial small subunit ribosomal RNA", at positions 28 to 507 of the family's 1533-position model. The record is from RNAcentral.